UACGUAGGGAGCAAGCGUUAUCCGGAUUUACUGGGUGUAAAGGGCGCGUAGGCGGGAAUGCAAGUCAGAUGUGAAAUCUGGGGGCUCAACCCUCAAACUGCAUUUGAAACUGUAUUUCUUGAGUGAUGGAGAGGCAAGUGGAAUUCCUAGUGUAGCGGUGAAAUGCGUAGAUAUUAGGAGGAACACCAGUGGCGAAGGCGACUUGCUGGACAUUAACUGACGCUGAGGCGCGAAAGCGUGGGGAGCAAACAGG
Molecule: ribosomal RNA, 253 nt
Filed under: uncultured bacterium
Lineage: Bacteria
Description: partial 16S ribosomal RNA
Rfam family: Bacterial small subunit ribosomal RNA
Source: RNAcentral